UACAGAGGGCCCGAGCGUUGUUCGGAUUCAUUGGGCGUAAAGGGUGCGUAGGCGGCGGGGCAAGUCUGAUGUGAAAUCCCGGGGCUCAACCCCGGAACUGCAUUGGAUACUGCCUUGCUAGAGUACUGGAGAGGGAACUGGAAUUUACGGUGUAGCAGUGAAAUGCGUAGAGAUCGUAAGGAAGGCCAGUGGCGAAGGCGAGUUCCUGGACAGUAACUGACGCUGAGGCACGAAGGCCAGGGGAGCAAACGGG
Molecule: ribosomal RNA, 253 nt
Filed under: uncultured bacterium
Lineage: Bacteria
Description: partial 16S ribosomal RNA
Rfam family: Bacterial small subunit ribosomal RNA
Source: RNAcentral